Molecule: ribosomal RNA, 746 nt
Filed under: Escherichia coli
Lineage: Bacteria; Pseudomonadati; Pseudomonadota; Gammaproteobacteria; Enterobacterales; Enterobacteriaceae
Description: partial 23S ribosomal RNA
Rfam family: Bacterial large subunit ribosomal RNA
Source: RNAcentral
UCCGUCGUGAAGAGGGAAACAACCCAGACCGCCAGCUAAGGUCCCAAAGUCAUGGUUAAGUGGGAAACGAUGUGGGAAGGCCCAGACAGCCAGGAUGUUGGCUUAGAAGCAGCCAUCAUUUAAAGAAAGCGUAAUAGCUCACUGGUCGAGUCGGCCUGCGCGGAAGAUGUAACGGGGCUAAACCAUGCACCGAAGCUGCGGCAGCGACGCUUAUGCGUUGUUGGGUAGGGGAGCGUUCUGUAAGCCUGCGAAGGUGUGCUGUGAGGCAUGCUGGAGGUAUCAGAAGUGCGAAUGCUGACAUAAGUAACGAUAAAGCGGGUGAAAAGCCCGCUCGCCGGAAGACCAAGGGUUCCUGUCCAACGUUAAUCGGGGCAGGGUGAGUCGACCCCUAAGGCGAGGCCGAAAGGCGUAGUCGAUGGGAAACAGGUUAAUAUUCCUGUACUUGGUGUUACUGCGAAGGGGGGACGGAGAAGGCUAUGUUGGCCGGGCGACGGUUGUCCCGGUUUAAGCGUGUAGGCUGGUUUUCCAGGCAAAUCCGGAAAAUCAAGGCUGAGGCGUGAUGACGAGGUACUACGGUGCUGAAGCAACAAAUGCCCUGCUUCCAGGAAAAGCCUCUAAGCAUCAGGUAACAUCAAAUCGUACCCCAAACCGACACAGGUGGUCAGGUAGAGAAUACCAAGGCGCUUGAGAGAACUCGGGUGAAGGAACUAGGCAAAAUGGUGCCGUAACUUCGGGAGAAGGCACGC